GCCAAGAGCGAAACAUGGCGGAGGAGAGGCCGGGCGACGGGGAGGAGCUGGAGCGCCUGAGCAGGCCUUUCCACCACCUGGCACCUUCUCUGCAGUCAUGGCCUGUUUCCCACUCAAGAGAGGAGGUGCCAUGACGGCAGGGGUCUGGAGGGCUUUGCUGACCGCUGUGUCCCCAGCAACCAGCAUGCUGCCAGCAUGUAGUUAAGUGCUCAAUAAACAGAUGUUUAAUGAAUGAGUAAGUUGCUUGGGCUCUGGGCGUGAAAAUGCCAAGUUUGGGCUGCCCCGUAGCCUCGUCUCUGGGAUUUGACUCCAGAUCUGUUUUUUAGGAACCCCACCCUAGAGAUGGUUAUGCCCUCCGGAAUCCGAGACCCCCUUCCUCGAACUGUGUAGUUCUAUCCUCAGCUUCUUUCAAUGAAGGAACCUUCACACAAUCCGACUUCGUUUUCC
RNAcentral lists this long non-coding RNA (447 nucleotides) under Mustela putorius furo (domestic ferret). Its description in RNAcentral is "lncRNA (ENSMPUG00000028572.1)". The record is from RNAcentral. Lineage: Eukaryota; Metazoa; Chordata; Mammalia; Carnivora; Mustelidae.